Molecule: long non-coding RNA, 1244 nt
Organism: Galeopterus variegatus (Sunda flying lemur)
Lineage: Eukaryota; Metazoa; Chordata; Mammalia; Dermoptera; Cynocephalidae
Exons: 2
Source: RefSeq, a predicted model, not a curated record
CAUUUGGUACCCUAGAUUCAGCCUGCUCUGUGCUGAACUUAUACUCUUACCUUAAGCCUUUACCACCACAUUCUGACUAAGCAGUGGUAAAGGCUUAAGGCAAGAGUAUAAGUUCAGCACAGAGCAGGCUGAAUCUAGGGUACCAAAUGGACAAUAAGAUGAAGUGUGUGGUAGACAUCGAGUGAAUGAUUUUCAAAUGAUGAAAUGAUAUUUGAGGUAAGGCUAAAUUCCAAGACUGACUCUGUACCCUGAAAUUGGGUCUGGUAGAUUGAAUUUUGAUGGAAGGAAGUACAGUCAUGAUUUUUUUGUUGUAUAACUCUUUCCUAUGUAUAUAUGUUUUAGUCCUCAUUUGUAUAGCACUUACUACAUGAGAGACACUAUUCUAAGCCUUGAUGUAUGUCAUUUACGCUCACGAUAACAGAAUUAGGUAAACACUAUUAUCUCUGUUUUACAAAUUACCCAGGCAUAGACAGGGUAAAUAACUUGUCCAUGGUCACACAACAUAGCAGUGAUUUGAAGACUGCACUAUUUCUAGUACUGUAGUACUAAGCCUAUUUUAUCAGCAACAAACUACCAACACCGUAGAGGAGCCCCUGGAGCUCAUAAGGUUCAGCCUGGAUGAGCGAAUUUAUGUGAAAAUGAGAAAUGACUGAGAGCUUCGAGGCAGAUUACAUUCCAUCGACCUCCCACUUCAGGCUUAUGAUCAGCAUUUAAAUGUGAUAUUGGGAGAUGUGAAAGAAACAGUGACCACUAUGGAAAUGGAUGAAGAGACGUGUGAGGAAACACACACAAUCAGUCACGCAGCUCUAUUCCUCACUCUGAAAACUCCAGUUGUUCUCAGCAUGCAGCACCUUAACACACGUGUGGAAAGCCUGUCAUGUUCUGACACCAACUUGUGGACUCAGUAGAGUAUAGCAGUUAAAAGCAAGGGCUCUGGUCUCAGACAGACAUGGGUUCCAGUACUGGCCUGGCCACUUCCUACCUAGGCUACCUUGAGAAAGGACAUUGACUUUGCAGACUUGAUUUCCUCAUCAGUCAGCAGGAACACUACCACUUACCUGACAGGAUUGCCAGAUUCAAUGAGAUAUGACAAUGGAAGAUGCUUGUGUAUGCUUGUGUAUAAUAGUAGUACUGGACAAUGUUCUUUCACUUUAUGUAGAUUUGGUAUAUUAGAAACUAAAACUAAGAAAUGUUUGAAAUAUUUUUGAAUCCAUUAAAAAAAAAUCUAUCACAUGUUAACAUAA